CAAACGGCCCUUUUCAGGGCCACUACAGACUAUGCACAUUUUUAUAU
Molecule: non-coding RNA, 47 nt
Organism: Trichuris suis (pig whipworm)
Lineage: Eukaryota; Metazoa; Nematoda; Enoplea; Trichinellida; Trichuridae
Source: Rfam